This is a non-coding RNA of Mycena rosella, 88 nucleotides long. The record is from the annotation of a GenBank genome assembly. Lineage: Eukaryota; Fungi; Basidiomycota; Agaricomycetes; Agaricales; Mycenaceae.
AGCAGUAUGGUGUAUUUCGCAUACGGGGUUCACAUAACGGUCAUAUCUUGUUCACCCCGAGGUCCUUGUUCGAAUCAGGGUACUGCUC